Molecule: ribosomal RNA, 475 nt
Filed under: uncultured organism
Description: partial 16S ribosomal RNA
Rfam family: Bacterial small subunit ribosomal RNA
Source: RNAcentral
UACACUCCUGCGGGAGGCAGCAGUGGGGAAUUUUGGACAAUGGGCGAAAGCCUGAUCCAGCAAUGCCGCGUGUGUGAAGAAGGCCUUCGGGUUGUAAAGCACUUUUGUCCGGAAAGAAAUCCUUGGCUCUAAUACAGUCGGGGGAUGACGGUACCGGAAGAAUAAGCACCGGCUAACUACGUGCCAGCAGCCGCGGUAAUACGUAGGGUGCGAGCGUUAAUCGGAAUUACUGGGCGUAAAGCGUGCGCAGGCGGUUUGCUAAGACCGAUGUGAAAUCCCCGGGCUCAACCUGGGAACUGCAUUGGUGACUGGCAGGCUAGAGUAUGGCAGAGGGGGGUAGAAUUCCACGUGUAGCAGUGAAAUGCGUAGAGAUGUGGAGGAAUACCGAUGGCGAAGGCAGCCCCCUGGGCCAAUACUGACGCUCAUGCACGAAAGCGUGGGGAGCAAACAGGAUUAGAUACCCCAGUAGUCCCAU